Molecule: long non-coding RNA, 1098 nt
Filed under: Gossypium barbadense (sea-island cotton)
Lineage: Eukaryota; Viridiplantae; Streptophyta; Magnoliopsida; Malvales; Malvaceae
Description: long non-coding RNA (GBAR_LNC014573)
Source: RNAcentral
AUAAAGCUAUUCACCAUUGUUUCAACAUGAAGGUUUGUAAUAAAAAUUUGUUUCUAUCAGCAUUGCUUUGCAUUGCUGUUGCAGGAGUUUUGGGUCAAGCUCCUAGUAAUCCUCCUACGUCUACGCCGGCGCCACCCACACCACCGGCUUCUACUCCUCCUCCGACGACUCAAGCACCGCCUACACCAACCGCCACUCCGCCACCGGUUUCUACUCCUCCUCCCACUUCAUCACCGCCCCCAGUGACAGCUUCUCCACCCCCAGUUUCAACUCCUCCACCCAGUUCUCCUCCUCCUGCAACUCCACCACCUGCUUCUCCUCCUCCUGCAACUCCACCUCCAGCUUCUCCACCUCCUGCCACUCCUCCACCAGCUUCUCCACCUCCCGCCACUCCACCACCUGCAACCCCACCGCCAGCAACUCCUCCUCCUGCUACCCCACCACCAGCUCCAUUGGCUUCUCCUCCAGCCACAGUCCCAGCUAUCUCUCCAGUACAAACACCAUUGACAUCGCCACCAGCUCCGCCGACCGAGGCCCCAGCACCUACCCUCGGGGCUGCUACGCCAGGUCCAGCUGGAACUGACACGGUACAUUUUCUCUUAUUCCACCAUUUUAUAUCCUUCUUCUCCACCUACGAUCAAGCUUUAUUAUCGGUUGAAAUUUAAGCCUUUACAGCAAGACUUAAAAUAUAAUUUUAUUAAUGGUUUUAUAAUAUUAAAUUAUAAUUUUAUCAUUCUUACACAUUAAUAUAUAAUGUGAUAAAAUUUUUUACUUUGGGUACCGUGCCAACUUCCUAACGUCGCCCUUAAUCUUACAUAAACAACGAUCUGAGCUUGUCUCGAUAUUAGCUAACCCUUAAGCCAUUAGAGAUGGCUAUUGGUUCCGUCUCGACAUACCUUCAACAUAAUCUGAUUUAAAAUUAAAUACUUAUAUCUAUUUUUUAACACAAUAUUUAAAAUUAUCUAUAAUUUCUUCUCAACUUAUAAUUAAAAUAACAAUACUUCAGCGUAUUCAAAUUUACGUACCUAUGUUAAUCUAAUUUGACAAUAAUAUUUAUGUUAAUUGAAUUAAAGCUUGAGAUAUUAAAUUUAAUUAAGA